UGGUAGCCUGGUACUUUCACACACAUAACC
RNAcentral lists this non-coding RNA (30 nucleotides) under Homo sapiens (human). The record is from RNAcentral. Lineage: Eukaryota; Metazoa; Chordata; Mammalia; Primates; Hominidae.